Molecule: ribosomal RNA, 490 nt
Filed under: uncultured bacterium
Lineage: Bacteria
Description: partial 16S ribosomal RNA
Rfam family: Bacterial small subunit ribosomal RNA
Source: RNAcentral
GAUGAACGCUAGCUACAGGCUUAACACAUGCAAGUCGCGGGGCAGCAUGGGGGUUGCUUGCAAUCCCCGAUGGCGACCGGCGCACGGGUGAGUAACGCGUAUUCAACCUGCCCUUCACCACGGGAUAACCCGGCGAAAGUCGGACUAAUACCGUAUGUUGACCAUUGACGGCAUCCGAUUUGGACGAAAGGCUUGGCGGUGAGGGAUGGGGAUGCGUCCGAUUAGCCAGACGGCGGGGUGACGGCCCACCGUGGCUACGAUCGGUAGGGGUUCUGAGAGGAAGGUCCCCCACACUGGAACUGAGGCACGGUCCAGACUCCUACGGGAGGCAGCAGUGAGGAAUAUUGGUCAAUGGGCGUAAGCCUGAACCAGCCAAGUAGCGUGCAGGAUGACGGCCCUAUGGGUUGUAAACUGCUUUGAUGCGGGGAUAAAGUGGCCCACGUGUGGGCUUUUGCAGGUACCGCAUGAAUAAGGACCGGCUAAUUCCGUG